Molecule: non-coding RNA, 405 nt
Organism: Sturnus vulgaris (Common starling)
Lineage: Eukaryota; Metazoa; Chordata; Aves; Passeriformes; Sturnidae
Source: RefSeq, a predicted model, not a curated record
AAGGGAUGUUGUAGCCACGCUUAUAGCAUAGAAGUGUAACAAGAAAUGUGAAGCCAAUGACAACAGCGUUCAGGAAACACAGUUGGUAUCCUUUGAUAGUGAAGUAAUAAAAUUGGACUGUAGCAGCACACUUUGGUUCAGAAACCUCCCUUUUGAGAUUAAAUAUUGCUAUUCCACAGUGAUGAAAGAGAUGUUCUCUACUUCCAAGUUAUACUGUGCUUUAAAGUUUUGUCAAAGUAAAAGAGCUUAUACAAUGAUGAUUUCAGACUUUUGUGUGAAGUAGUGUUGACAUCAGAAGAGCCACAAAUUCAAAGAGACUCAUGAGAAAGUUAAUGUAUCUCUGCAUAUUUUAUUAUAUCUACAUGGUGCUGGAGGAAAAAAUUAAACUUCUUGGUAAUGCUGCUG